UACAGAGGGGGCGAGCGUUGUUCGGAAUUACUGGGCGUAAAGGGCGCGUAGGCGGCCUACUAAGUCAGACGUGAAAUCCCUCGGCUCAACCGGGGAACUGCGUCUGAUACUGGUGGGCUUGAAUCCGGGAGAGGGAUGCGGAAUUCCAGGUGUAGCGGUGAAAUGCGUAGAUAUCUGGAGGAACACCGGUGGCGAAGGCGGCAUCCUGGACCGGUAUUGACGCUGAGGCGCGAAAGCCAGGGGAGCAAACGGG
Molecule: ribosomal RNA, 253 nt
Filed under: uncultured bacterium
Lineage: Bacteria
Description: partial 16S ribosomal RNA
Rfam family: Bacterial small subunit ribosomal RNA
Source: RNAcentral